UACGGAGGGGGCACGCGUUAUUCGGAAUUAUUGGGCGUAAAGGGCGCGUAGGCGGCUAGAUGUGUCAGAGGUGAAAUCCCUCGGCUCAACUGAGGAACUGCCUUUGAAACUGUCUGGCUUGAGGCCGGGAGAGGGUAGCGGAAUUCCCAGUGUAGCGGUGAAAUGCGUAGAUAUCGGGAGGAACACCAAUGGCGAAGGCAGCUCGCUGGGACGUGACUGACGCUGAGACGCGAAAGCGUGGGGAGCAAACAGG
Molecule: ribosomal RNA, 253 nt
Filed under: uncultured bacterium
Lineage: Bacteria
Description: partial 16S ribosomal RNA
Rfam family: Bacterial small subunit ribosomal RNA
Source: RNAcentral